ACACUGAACGAAAACUCCGGUCCUACAUUGAAUGAUUUGUAAUUCAAACGCUCUUAAAACUUCAUAUUACUCAUUUUGAAUGACAUUGGAAGAAUAUGAUGCAUCCACUUAAUAUUAAACAAAAAUCAUUCAAUUCAGUAAUGAAUUUCAGACCAUGUUCUAAUGACAUUAGGCUGAUAAUCGAAUUAUGAUAACAUAAAUGAACAACAUGCAGCUUAUGACAGAUUAUAAUAUUUACUAUGUCCCAUACCGAAAAUCAUUCAAUUAUAGUCUGAAAUAUCAGGCGGAAAGGGAAUAAUCAUAAAUAUCAAAUCAUUCUGGCAAAUCUAAACGUGAAUAUGGCGGCGGCAGCGUGGAACGUCAAACAUUUCUGCGUGGAUUUUGCAGGUACCAACCAACUACAAUCGCUGACAUCCAAGUGUUUUGGUUCGAUGGAGCAAAGCUGCGAAACUAAUUUAUUUGCAAGGAGCCACAUCACACAAAAUGUUCGCUGCAGGUAGGAAUCUGUUCCUGAAGGCAGGAGAUUGUUACAUUUGUGUUACCCCGUUAUAGAAAUAAACAUUAAUGCACAUAAACCAAUAACGUUUCGUACUUAUUAUUUUUUAUUUGAGUUCUUUGAAAAUAGGAAAUAUUACGAAUGGAGGGUUAUUUACAUGUGUGUAUGAUAAUCAUUCAAUCUGAGGCAUCUAUUUGGAGGAUAAAAAUCCUUCCAAUUCUGGAUGAUUUUCAUUCGGUAUGAUUUGUAAACAGAUGAUUUC
This is a long non-coding RNA of Aedes aegypti (yellow fever mosquito), 758 nucleotides long. RefSeq lists it as uncharacterized. NCBI's taxonomy places the organism in Eukaryota, Metazoa, Arthropoda, Insecta, Diptera, Culicidae. The record is from RefSeq and is a predicted model, not a curated record. The transcript has 2 exons.